Molecule: non-coding RNA, 236 nt
Filed under: Bacillus sp. UNCCL81
Lineage: Bacteria; Bacillati; Bacillota; Bacilli; Caryophanales; Bacillaceae
Source: RNAcentral
UGAUGCCCGUCGAGAAAGAACUAGCCAUUCACUCGUAGCGAGUCUUGGAGGGCUAAAGGUAACUUUAGCCUUUAAGCGUAGACAGUGAGAUAGCGGGCCGAAAGCCAAAUGGUUGAAGGGAUUGAGCUUCGAAAUGUUAGUAAAUCGAGAGGGCUGAUGCUUUACGCAUAGCAGAAGGCUACAUUUUACCUUUCGUUAAGGCAAGAAGGGUAAAGGCUCUCCGGAGUCAGAGACCU